Molecule: ribosomal RNA, 1372 nt
Filed under: uncultured bacterium
Lineage: Bacteria
Description: bacterial SSU rRNA
Rfam family: Bacterial small subunit ribosomal RNA
Source: RNAcentral
GAUGAACGCUGGCGGCGUGCCUAAUACAUGCAAGUCGAGCGAACGGACGAGAAGCUUGCUUCUCUGAUGUUAGCGGCGGACGGGUGAGUAACACGUGGAUAACCUACCUAUAAGACUGGGAUAACUUCGGGAAACCGGAGCUAAUACCGGAUAAUAUUUUGAACCGCAUGGUUCAAAAGUGAAAGACGGUCUUGCUGUCACUUAUAGAUGGAUCCGCGCUGCAUUAGCUAGUUGGUAAGGUAACGGCUUACCAAGGCAACGAUGCAUAGCCGACCUGAGAGGGUGAUCGGCCACACUGGAACUGAGACACGGUCCAGACUCCUACGGGAGGCAGCAGUAGGGAAUCUUCCGCAAUGGGCGAAAGCCUGACGGAGCAACGCCGCGUGAGUGAUGAAGGUCUUCGGAUCGUAAAACUCUGUUAUUAGGGAAGAACAUAUGUGUAAGUAACUGUGCACAUCUUGACGGUACCUAAUCAGAAAGCCACGGCUAACUACGUGCCAGCAGCCGCGGUAAUGCGUAGGUGGCAAGCGUUAUCCGGAAUUAUUGGGCGUAAAGCGCGCGUAGGCGGUUUUUUAAGUCUGAUGUGAAAGCCCACGGCUCAACCGUGGAGGGUCAUUGGAAACUGGAAAACUUGAGUGCAGAAGAGGAAAGUGGAAUUCCAUGUGUAGCGGUGAAAUGCGCAGAGAUAUGGAGGAACACCAGUGGCGAAGGCGACUUUCUGGUCUGUAACUGACGCUGAUGUGCGAAAGCGUGGGGAUCAAACAGGAUUAGAUACCCUGGUAGUCCACGCCGUAAACGAUGAGUGCUAAGUGUUAGGGGGUUUCCGCCCCUUAGUGCUGCAGCUAACGCAUUAAGCACUCCGCCUGGGGAGUACGACCGCAAGGUUGAAACUCAAAGGAAUUGACGGGGACCCGCACAAGCGGUGGAGCAUGUGGUUUAAUUCGAAGCAACGCGAAGAACCUUACCAAAUCUUGACAUCCUUUGACAACUCUAGAGAUAGAGCCUUCCCCUUCGGGGGACAAAGUGACAGGUGGUGCAUGGUUGUCGUCAGCUCGUGUCGUGAGAUGUUGGGUUAAGUCCCGCAACGAGCGCAACCCUUAAGCUUAGUUGCCAUCAUUAAGUUGGGCACUCUAAGUUGACUGCCGGUGACAAACCGGAGGAAGGUGGGGAUGACGUCAAAUCAUCAUGCCCCUUAUGAUUUGGGCUACACACGUGCUACAAUGGACAAUACAAAGGGCAGCGAAACCGCGAGGUCAAGCAAAUCCCAUAAAGUUGUUCUCAGUUCGGAUUGUAGUCUGCAACUCGACUACAUGAAGCUGGAAUCGCUAGUAAUCGUAGAUCAGCAUGCUACGGUGAAUACGUUCCCGGGUCU